This is a long non-coding RNA of Acanthochromis polyacanthus (spiny chromis), 529 nucleotides long. RefSeq lists it as uncharacterized. The transcript has 3 exons. The record is from RefSeq and is a predicted model, not a curated record. NCBI's taxonomy places the organism in Eukaryota, Metazoa, Chordata, Actinopteri, Pomacentridae.
GGAUUUCCCAGUGUGAUUGGCUGCAUAGAUGCACACACAUCCCCAUCACAGCUCCCUCACAUCAUGAACAGGAAGUCCAUUCACAGCAUAAAUGUGCAGAUCAUAUGUGAUGCUGCAUACAUCAUUUCUAAUGUGGAGGCCACGUGGUCUGGGUCUGUUCAUGACUCCAGGAUUUAUGGAGAGUCUAACCUGAGCAACAGACUGCAGCAUGGAGAGUUUGAUGGCCUUCUGCUGGGUGACAGGGGUUACCAUGCCAACCCAGGCUGAUGACCUCAUACCCUGACCCUGAACCAGGCCCCCAGCAGAACUUCAACCGGACUCACUGCAGGACCAGAGCCCGGGUGGAGAUGACCACAGACCUGCUGAAAGCCCGUUUCCAGAGCCUACAUCUCCUCAGGGUGACCCCUGAGAGGGCCUGUGAUAUUACUGUGGUAUGUGUUGUUCUUCAUAAUAUUACCACUAUUAGAGGAGAGCAACACCCUGCCCUACAAACUGAAGACCCAGAUGAUGACUUCAUCCACCUGCAGCU